UCUACUGCUGUACUUGGUUUGUGAUGCUCUGCAAAGCAGCAUAUUGGAAAGAAGACAGUCAUGGAAUAUUUCACACAGCCUUGUUUGUUCUCUGAAAGUAGGACGAAGGAAACCUGAGCAUUUCACCUGCCGAGGGUUUUUGCCAAGGCAUUCCAGAGAACUAACACAGAAAACACCUGCAGUUCAGGUCUUGGUUGUGUGAUGGAAUCCCAGAACUUGAACUAGUCAAACCAGGCAGAGAUCUGCACUGUUGUGCUACCAGUCUUGGCAAUCUGAUGCUUGCAACAUUUUCUACAAUGGAAAGAAUUCAUCUGAAAGAGAGGGGAGGGACAGCAGGCGAGAAGGAGGCCUCUGAUGUAAUUUCACUGACAGGAAGCCAAGAGGCAGGGAAAUCUUGUUUGAUUUCUUCCUUCCUAUGCCAAGAUUCAGAAGUGCGGCGGUAUGAUGACAAAACAGUUGCCUCCACAAAGUAAAGACAGGGAGAGGCCACAACUAUUUAAACCUACAGGUGAUUAACCCCAGGAGUGACAAUAAAACAUUCUCUGAUCUUUUUUUGCUAAGGGUCACAUUGAUGGUUGGGGAAGUUAUAUAAGCAUUCAUAUGAACUUGUAAACUCUGAAGUCAGUGACCCUGAUGUGUAUUUUUAGAAUGAUUGCUGUUUAUUCUAGUAAUGAACAUUUCCCCUUUAUUUACUAUUUCAGGUUUUUCUCCAUCCUGUUUACCUCCAGACCGUCCCCAUAAUAUUUAUGAACUCUUGCAAGAACUUUGCUUUUUUCACUUAUGGUACUUAUCAUUUUUAUUCUUGUUAUGUAUCUUGACACAAACCUAUGGCAAUCCUGUCACAGGGUUUUCUUGGUGAGAUUCAUUCAGAAAAGUUCUGUGAUCACUUUCCUCUAAGGACCUCAUCACACGAUGGAAAUUCAGUGUCCUAAGACAGUUCUGCCCAGUUGACCCACGGAGCCCCACGGAGACGCACAUCACACAUCCUAGCCUCACUUUCGGCAGGGUUCUGUGGGUCAACUGAGGCAGAAGCAUUGUAGGAAGAUGUGCUGCCAACACGGUAGUCUCCCUGGGUUCCACUUGGAACAAUGGGGCUAGCGUGGGGGGAAGGCACAUGGCAAUGCUUCCCCAUAUCUGGGGAAGUCAGCUGGCAGUGUGGUGCAGCACAAGGUGCUGGGAUUGCCCCACUGCUCCCCAAGUUACCAUGGAGGCUGGCAAAUCAAAAUGCUGGACCUCAUCAAUGUGAUGAGGUCCUGAGACUGUAACUUGGUCAAGUAGGGAGUUGAACCCUAGGACUCUAUGUAGUCUAGCACUCAGAUCACUACACCACACUGGCACGCCUUAAGGCUCUUUUGAGUGAAAUGCUUCCCAUUAUAUCUGCUGGUGUCCAUCUACUGUACUAGUUGAAUUACCCAAAGUUUAGAAAAUGUUUGCAUUAUAGUUCUUAUUAGCUGUGCCCAGCCACGCGUUGCUGUGGUGAAGUAUGGUGGUAUGGGAAAUAAAGUAUUGAGGAAUUGGUGGUAGUUAAGGUAAAGGUGUGGAGUCCAGAUAAUCCAGUUAAAGCAGAUAAUAUAAGAUUAUAAAUGGGUUAUAUAGCUGUGUGGAAGGGCCUUGAGUCUACACUGCCAUCUAAUCCAGUUAAAAUCUGAUAAUCUGUAUUUUAUAGGCAGUGUCCCUAAGUGAGGCCAACUCUGCCUGCCCCCUGGGUGAGUGGGUUGCUAGGAGACCAAGUGGGCGGAGCUUAGCCUUCUAACUGGCAGCAAUUGGAUAAAAACAAUUAUUCCUCUCCCUCUAUAGGAUUUUAUUUUUCUUUUCUUUUUGUUGUAUCAACCUAGAGGCGUGGAUGAUGGGUUGUGUUGUCAAUUUUCGGGGUUGUGGGGUGUUUAGUUUUGUUGUUAUGGCGGUCGCCAGGAUUCCAUCACUCUUUUAUAUAUAUAGAUAA
Anolis carolinensis (green anole) is the source of this 1942-nucleotide long non-coding RNA. RefSeq lists it as uncharacterized. The transcript is spliced from 2 exons. The record is from RefSeq and is a predicted model, not a curated record. NCBI's taxonomy places the organism in Eukaryota, Metazoa, Chordata, Lepidosauria, Squamata, Anolidae.